UGACAACCUUGAAGAGCUGCAGUCCAGGUGCUAUUGGAGUUUUAUCUUAAUGCAACUGUCACUCAAGCAUUGAACAGAAACUCUGCUGAAAAGGCAAGGCUCGCGGAGGAUGGGCCAAGGGAUUCCUGGAGCCCACUGCCCUGGAGCCUCCAAGACUUUACCUUCUUCCCAUUGAUGGGACAGAGGCUUGGGCAGCGGCACCCAGCUGUGAGUCUGAGUGAACAUAGUUCCACAAGGCUGAUGCUGAGGGCCAUCUUGGGGAACCCAUGAGGACCAAGUGACUGUAUGUGAAGUAACUGGCAUAAAGCAAACAUGCUUCAGGUAGGAGGAUUUACACAUGAAACUUUAGCCACCUGAGUUCCAAAGACUGAUGAGAAAAUGGUUGAGGUGAAAGAAGAUGGUCAGGGACUGGAGCCAAUGGUGUGGCUUCUGGCUCUGGACCAAGGGUCUUCAUUUUGAUCUGUUUGGAAACAGGAUGUACCACCUUGGAUGACCAUCACCGAUACUUCUCUUGAUUUAGCUCUUUGUUGAGCCCAAGGCAGUGAGAACUGGUGUGCAACAAGGGAGCAGCCUGAACUGGCUUUCUGGACCAACUCACUCAGAAACCAUCUGCCUGUGGCUUCUGAUUCUGAGCAGAACAGAGCAGCCUGAGGUCUCAGAAUCCACCAAGAUAAUAGCUUUUCCCAAACCAGCCCAGCUAAGCUCUAAUUAAGACGGAUGGAAAUGAAUCACCACUCCGGUUGCUUGCCACACAUAGGCCGUGGCUGGGGAGCAUUCCCAAAUCCUGGGCGGCCAUUUCUCUCUUAGCCUUGCAUUGCUGGGAGAACACUCAGACAAAAGCUAAAGUCCUGUUGACUUUGGGAAGAAGGCAAAUGGCCACUGUCUGUGACUGUAUGCCUGGACUUUUGUCCACUCUGAAGGCUGAACUGUUCAUGGGAGAUGGAUGUUGCGAACAGUCUGGAGUAAUCUCGAGACAGAUGUUGUCUGGCUGGGGCAGCUGUGGACCAUAGAAGAAACUCCAAGAUCAGCCACUGAGAAUGCCAGGAGAGCCACAAAUGUGAACCUUUACCUGGGAUCCGGACAGGUGCCAGAGGUAUCAUCAAGGCUGACGGAGCCUGGCAUUGGCUUUCUCGCCGUGAUCAGCAGCUGACAACCCGACAGGAACACUUUCCCUGAUUACAUUUUAAACUUGGACUGUAGCACCCUCGGUUGGUUGCAUUUCGAAUGAGAGAGAGGCAUGCGGUAAGGCAAGGAAAGACUGUCCUGUAAGGAGGUUUGCCCAAUCUUCAGGAUCAGAGGACACGGAGCCAGCUCACCCGACACACACAGCAUCGCGUCCACAUUUCAACCUAACCAAAGUACUGACAGCCAAUAAACUGACAUUGGAUGAGAACUGAAACAUUCAAGACAGUGCACAAACUCCAACUGGUACUGUGUGAAAUCGAAAAGGAAUGUUCAGGGGUGGGGAGCGGAAGGAGCCAUUACACACCCCCUAAUGGGAAUGAGCUCCAUCCACUUGUCAAAAUGCAUUUUCUGAUCGAAUAUCACCAUUUCUUAGUGUGGUAGAAAAGAAAAAAAUGUUGCCUUCUAGGCAAGUGAUGAAGAA
Molecule: long non-coding RNA, 1606 nt
Organism: Meriones unguiculatus (Mongolian gerbil)
Lineage: Eukaryota; Metazoa; Chordata; Mammalia; Rodentia; Muridae
Exons: 4
Source: RefSeq, a predicted model, not a curated record